CAGUCGCCACGGUAAUACGUAGGUCCCGAGCGUUGUCCGGAUUUAUUGGGCGUAAAGCGAGCGCAGGCGGUUUGAUAAGUCUGAAGUUAAAGGCUGUGACUCAACCAUAGUUCGCUUUGGAAACUGUCAAACUUGAGUGCAGAAGGGGAGGGUGGAAUUCCAUGUGUAGCGGUGAAAUGCGUAGAUAUAUGGAGGAACACCGGUGGCGAAAGCGGCUCUCUGGUCUGUAACUGACGCUGAGGCUCGAAAGCGUGGGGAGCGAACAGGAUUAGAUACCCCAGUAGUCCCUGUCUCUUAUACA
Molecule: ribosomal RNA, 301 nt
Filed under: uncultured bacterium
Lineage: Bacteria
Description: partial 16S ribosomal RNA
Rfam family: Bacterial small subunit ribosomal RNA
Source: RNAcentral